Molecule: ribosomal RNA, 483 nt
Filed under: uncultured bacterium
Lineage: Bacteria
Description: partial 16S ribosomal RNA
Rfam family: Bacterial small subunit ribosomal RNA
Source: RNAcentral
GACGAACGCUGGCGGCGUGCUUAACACAUGCAAGUCGAACGCUGAAGCUCAGCUUUUGUUGGGUGGAUGAGUGGCGAACGGGUGAGUAACACGUGAGUAACCUGCCCCCUUCUUUGGGAUAACGCCCGGAAACGGGUGCUAAUACUGGAUAUUCACUGGUCUUCGCAUGGGGGUUGGUGGAAAGGGUUUUUCUGGUGGGGGAUGGGCUCGCGGCCUAUCAGCUUGUUGGUGGGGUGAUGGCCUACCAAGGCUUUGACGGGUAGCCGGCCUGAGAGGGUGACCGGUCACAUUGGGACUGAGAUACGGCCCAGACUCCGACGGGAGGCAGCAGUGGGGAAGAUUGCACAAUGGGCGCAAGCCUGAUGCAGCGACGCCGCGUGAGGGAUGGAGGCCUUCGGGUUGUGAACCUCUUUCGCUCAUGGUCAAGCCGCAACAAUGGUUGUGGUGAGGGUAGUGGGUAAAGAAGCGCCGGCUAACUACGUG